UACAGAGGUCUCAAGCGUUGUUCGGAAUUACUGGGCGUAAAGCGCGCGUAGGCGGCUUUGUAAGUUAGAGGUGAAAGCCCGGGGCUCAACCCCGGAACUGCCUUUAAGACUGCAUCGCUUGAAUCCGGGAGAGGUGAGUGGAAUUCCGAGUGUAGAGGUGAAAUUCGUAGAUAUUCGGAAGAACACCAGUGGCGAAGGCGGCUCACUGGACCGGUAUUGACGCUGAUGUGCGAAAGCGUGGGGAGCGAACAGG
RNAcentral lists this ribosomal RNA (253 nucleotides) under uncultured bacterium. Its description in RNAcentral is "partial 16S ribosomal RNA". It matches the Rfam family "Bacterial small subunit ribosomal RNA", at positions 524 to 776 of the family's 1533-position model. The record is from RNAcentral.